Molecule: ribosomal RNA, 2902 nt
Filed under: Escherichia coli
Lineage: Bacteria; Pseudomonadati; Pseudomonadota; Gammaproteobacteria; Enterobacterales; Enterobacteriaceae
Description: bacterial LSU rRNA
Rfam family: Bacterial large subunit ribosomal RNA
Source: RNAcentral
UUAAGCGACUAAGCGUACACGGUGGAUGCCCUGGGCAGUCAGAGGCGAUGAAGGACGUGCUAAUCUGCGAUAAGCGUCGGUAAGGUGAUAUGAACCGUUAUAACCGGCGAUUUCCGAAUGGGGAAACCCAGUGUGAUUCGUCACACUAUCAUUAACUGAAUCCAUAGGUUAAUGAGGCGAACCGGGGGAACUGAAACAUCUAAGUACCCCGAGGAAAAGAAAUCAACCGAGAUUCCCCCAGUAGCGGCGAGCGAACGGGGAGCAGCCCAGAGCCUGAAUCAGUGUGUGUGUUAGUGGAAGCGUCUGGAAAGGCGCGCGAUACAGGGUGACAGCCCCGUACACAAAAAUGCACAUGCUGUGAGCUCGAUGAGUAGGGCGGGACACGUGGUAUCCUGUCUGAAUAUGGGGGGACCAUCCUCCAAGGCUAAAUACUCCUGACUGACCGAUAGUGAACCAGUACCGUGAGGGAAAGGCGAAAAGAACCCCGGCGAGGGGAGUGAAAAGAACCUGAAACCGUGUACGUACAAGCAGUGGGAGCACAGAGCAAUCUGUGUGACUGCGUACCUUUUGUAUAAUGGGUCAGCGACUUAUAUUCUGUAGCAAGGUUAACCGAAUAGGGGAGCCGAAGGGAAACCGAGUCUUAACUGGGCGUUAAGUUGCAGGGUAUAGACCCGAAACCCGGUGAUCUAGCCAUGGGCAGGUUGAAGGUUGGGUAACACUAACUGGAGGACCGAACCGACUAAUGUUGAAAAAUUAGCGGAUGACUUGUGGCUGGGGGUGAAAGGCCAAUCAAACCGGGAGAUAGCUGGUUCUCCCCGAAAGCUAUUUAGGUAGCGCCUCGUGAAUUCAUCUCCGGGGGUAGAGCACUGUUUCGGCAAGGGGGUCAUCCCGACUUACCAACCCGAUGCAAACUGCGAAUACCGGAGAAUGUUAUCACGGGAGACACACGGCGGGUGCUAACGUCCGUCGUGAAGAGGGAAACAACCCAGACCGCCAGCUAAGGUCCCAAAGUCAUGGUUAAGUGGGAAACGAUGUGGGAAGGCCCAGACAGCCAGGAUGUUGGCUUAGAAGCAGCCAUCAUUUAAAGAAAGCGUAAUAGCUCACUGGUCGAGUCGGCCUGCGCGGAAGAUGUAACGGGGCUAAACCAUGCACCGAAGCUACGGCAGCGACGCUGAUGCGUUGUUGGGUAGGGGAGCGUUCUGUAAGCCUGCGAAGGUGUGCUGUGAGGCAUGCUGGAGGUAUCAGAAGUGCGAAUGCUGACAUAAGUAACGAUAAAGCGGGUGAAAAGCCCGCUCGCCGGAAGACCAAGGGUUCCUGUCCAACGUUAAUCGGGGCAGGGUGAGUCGACCCCUAAGGCGAGGCCGAAAGGCGUAGUCGAUGGGAAACAGGUUAAUAUUCCUGUACUUGGUGUUACUGCGAAGGGGGACGGAGAAGGCUAUGUUGGCCGGGCGACGGUUGUCCCGGUUUAAGCGUGUAGGCUGGUUUUCCAGGCAAAUCCGGAAAAUCAAGGCUGAGGCGUGAUGACGAGGCACUACGGUGCUGAAGCAACAAAUGCCCUGCUUCCAGGAAAAGCCUCUAAGCAUCAGGUAACAUCAAAUCGUACCCCAAACCGACACAGGUGGUCAGGUAGAGAAUACCAAGGCGCUUGAGAGAACUCGGGUGAAGGAACUAGGCAAAAUGGUGCCGUAACUUCGGGAGAAGGCACGCUGAUAUGUAGGUGAAGUCCCUCGCGGAUGGAGCUGAAAUCAGUCGAAGAUACCAGCUGGCUGCAACUGUUUAUUAAAAACACAGCACUGUGCAAACACGAAAGUGGACGUAUACGGUGUGACGCCUGCCCGGUGCCGGAAGGUUAAUUGAUGGGGUCAGCGCAAGCGAAGCUCUUGAUCGAAGCCCCGGUAAACGGCGGCCGUAACUAUAACGGUCCUAAGGUAGCGAAAUUCCUUGUCGGGUAAGUUCCGACCUGCACGAAUGGCGUAAUGAUGGCCAGGCUGUCUCCACCCGAGACUCAGUGAAAUUGAACUCGCUGUGAAGAUGCAGUGUACCCGCGGCAAGACGGAAAGACCCCGUGAACCUUUACUAUAGCUUGACACUGAACAUUGAGCCUUGAUGUGUAGGAUAGGUGGGAGGCUUUGAAGUGUGGACGCCAGUCUGCAUGGAGCCGGCCUUGAAAUACCACCCUUUAAUGUUUGAUGUUCUAACGUUGACCCGUAAUCCGGGUUGCGGACAGUGUCUGGUGGGUAGUUUGACUGGGGCGGUCUCCUCCUAAAGAGUAACGGAGGAGCACGAAGGUUGGCUAAUCCUGGUCGGACAUCAGGAGGUUAGUGCAAUGGCAUAAGCCAGCUUGACUGCGAGCGUGACGGCGCGAGCAGGUGCGAAAGCAGGUCAUAGUGAUCCGGUGGUUCUGAAUGGAAGGGCCAUCGCUCAACGGAUAAAAGGUACUCCGGGGAUAACAGGCUGAUACCGCCCAAGAGUUCAUAUCGACGGCGGUGUUUGGCACCUCGAUUCGGCUCAUCACAUCCUGGGGCUGAAGUAGGUCCCAAGGGUAUGGCUGUUCGCCAUUUAAAGUGGUACGCGAGCUGGGUUUAGAACGUCGUGAGACAGUUCGGUCCCUAUCUGCCGUGGGCGCUGGAGAACUGAGGGGGGCUGCUCCUAGUACGAGAGGACCGGAGUGGACGCAUCACUGGUGUUCGGGUUGUCAUGCCAAUGGCACUGCCCGGUAGCUAAAUGCGGAAGAGAUAAGUGCUGAAAGCAUCUAAGCACGAAACUUGCCCCGAGAUGAGUUCUCCCUGACUCCUUGAGAGUCCUGAAGGAACGUUGAAGACGACGACGUUGAUAGGCCGGGUGUGUAAGCGCAGCGAUGCGUUGAGCUAACCGGUACUAAUGAACCGUGAGGCUUAACCUU